RNAcentral lists this long non-coding RNA (1227 nucleotides) under Homo sapiens (human). Its description in RNAcentral is "non-protein coding lnc-N6AMT1-1:14". The record is from RNAcentral. Lineage: Eukaryota; Metazoa; Chordata; Mammalia; Primates; Hominidae.
CUCUUCUGUUCCUGCAAACCCCAGAGAACAUGCUGUAUGAGUGUGAUGGAAAUAAUUUCACUUUCUCUGACUUAUGAUUAGUGAAGAGGAUUUCAGGCUGGCAUCAAGUUACAGAGAUGGGGCCUGGAUGUGUUGCUUAGGCUGUGUGAAACACCUGGUCUUAAGCGAUCCUCUCACCCUGGCCUCCCAAAGCAUUGGGAUUACAGGGAGAAAAGAAUGGGAACUGUGAGGAAAAGAAUGACAUGAACAAUGGGAAGACCAAGGUCCCAGCACAAGUAGUAGAUGCUGAGGAAAGAAGAAGUAUGUUGUGGAGAAUUGCAUAAAUUCGCUAGAAUCAGAAGUCAGUUGUCCUGAUCUCAGAACAAUUUGGUGUGUACAAAGUCCAAGGUUUGAAAACUCAUCAAGAAGUCAGCAUCCUGCAAGAAUCAGCCACCCAUGCCACACUUUCUAUAGUAACUUCUGUUCUGCAUCAGACUACAUCACUCUGGCUUUCUGGGAUCACUUUUAUAAUACAAAGAAUGACUGCAAUAUAAGCUUUGAAAGACUGACUCACUAAGGAAACAAGACAGGUUUGGAAAAAUGGAUCCCUUGCCAUUGACGCACUCUGGAGAACUCUUUAAAAAAUGGUAAUCUGAGAAAUUUAAUUGCCACGUAACUGUUCACAUAAAACUGAUACUAUCAGUAAGUGGACCAAAUUAAAUAUUCUGUGAAAACGUUGCAUUUCACAACCAGGUGUUUUGAUUUUUUGAAAUGAAAGAAAAAAAAAGGAAGUCAGCUUUUAGCUAUGUGGUGCAGUUGAUCUUCUCUGGAAAGUUAUUCUGCAGAUCUACCAAAUGAAUUAAAGAUGAGAAGACAAAUGUAGGAGAUAAAAAGGCAAAGAAGAGAUGUUUAUCUGCUGUGUACCACUUUUGUGAUGGUGGAUCCCUUCAUCUUUCUGUGCCUCAUUUUUUUCUUAUUUCUACAUAGAGGGCACUAUUCCAGGCCAGUGCUCUGGGAGGAAUUACCCAGAAUCCCUGUAGAAGCCACUACUGAUGUCAGCUACAAGAGGAAGGGAACCCAAGUGGACUUCAGCCAGAACAAAGCUCUGUCACAUGUUGGAAUUUUACUGAACUUGAACAAAUUAUUCUUCAGAAAAAGUAUUUUAAAGUCAAAAGACUCCUAGAUGAUUUCUAGGUCUUUUGCAGCAUUAACUUCCUUUGAAUCAAUGCCUUCAAUGAUUAUUUAAAA